AUAACUAUCCGCAUUGAUUUCAUGAUCGUCCAUUAGCGAGCUGAUAAAGACGAUUUUAUUCCAGACUGGUAGAAGAGCGCGGUGAAGGGAACUAACUGUUAAGUAAUCGGGGAAACUAUUCUUUAAGUUUUAAAAGACAAUGGAACAAUCACCAGUGAAAUUAACAUUAUGUUUUUUAGUUUUUGCAGUAGGAACAGAGGCAAUGAAUUAUUUGGCAUUUCCAAGAAUGGGCAGAUCGGGUUAUUUAGCAUUUCCUCGCAUGGGUCGAUCAAAUAAUGGUAAUUUGGAUACUACAGAUUUACACACAGACUGCUGUCCUAAAGGAAUAAAAACUCAAUGGGUAGUUA
Patella vulgata (common limpet) is the source of this 347-nucleotide long non-coding RNA. RefSeq lists it as uncharacterized. The transcript has 3 exons. NCBI's taxonomy places the organism in Eukaryota, Metazoa, Mollusca, Gastropoda, Patellidae. The record is from RefSeq and is a predicted model, not a curated record.